Molecule: transfer RNA, 75 nt
Filed under: Kapaibacterium sp. (SeqCode)
Lineage: Bacteria; Pseudomonadati; Bacteroidota; Eximiradiia; Eximiradiales; Kapaibacteriaceae (SeqCode)
Description: Candidatus Kapabacteria bacterium (microbial mat metagenome) tRNA-His
Rfam family: tRNA
About the family: Transfer RNA (tRNA) molecules are approximately 80 nucleotides in length.
Source: RNAcentral
GCGGGCGUAGCUCAGUUGGUAGAGCGCCAGAUUGUGGCUCUGGCUGUCGCGGGUUCAAUCCCCGUCGCUCGCCCA